UCGAACGAUGAAACCGCCCUCGGGCGGACAUGAAGUGGCGAACGGGUGAGUAACACGUGACCAACCUGCCCCUUGCUCCGGGACAACCUUGGGAAACCGAGGCUAAUACCGGAUACUCCUCGCCACCCUCCCUGGGGGGGCCCGGGGAAAGCCCAGACGGCAAGGGAUGGGGUCGCGGCCCAUUAGGUAGUAGGCGGGGUAACGGCCCACCUAGCCCGCGAUGGGUAGCCGGGUUGAGAGACCGACCGGCCACAUUGGGACUGAGAUACGGCCCAGACUCCUACGGGAGGCAGCAUG
This 297-nucleotide ribosomal RNA is filed under the name uncultured bacterium. Its description in RNAcentral is "partial 16S ribosomal RNA". It matches the Rfam family "Bacterial small subunit ribosomal RNA", at positions 62 to 353 of the family's 1533-position model. The record is from RNAcentral.